This 74-nucleotide transfer RNA is filed under the name Daucus carota subsp. sativus. Its description in RNAcentral is "tRNA trnX-tgg". It matches the Rfam family "tRNA". Rfam says of the family: Transfer RNA (tRNA) molecules are approximately 80 nucleotides in length. Their secondary structure includes four short double-helical elements and three loops (D, anti-codon, and T loops). The record is from RNAcentral. Lineage: Eukaryota; Viridiplantae; Streptophyta; Magnoliopsida; Apiales; Apiaceae.
UCCGAUGUUGCGCAGCUUGGUAGCGCGUUUGUUUUGGGUAUAAAAUCUCACAGGUUCAAAUCCUGUCAUCCCUA